This 429-nucleotide ribosomal RNA is filed under the name Gemmatimonadota bacterium. RNAcentral's name for it is "Gemmatimonadetes bacterium partial 16S ribosomal RNA". It matches the Rfam family "Bacterial small subunit ribosomal RNA", at positions 355 to 776 of the family's 1533-position model. Lineage: Bacteria; Pseudomonadati; Gemmatimonadota. The record is from RNAcentral.
UAGGGAAUCUUCGGCAAUGGACGAAAGUCUGACCGAGCAACGCCGCGUGAGUGAAGAAGGUUUUCGGAUCGUAAAACUCUGUUGUUAGAGAAGAACAAGGACGUUAGUAACUGAACGUCCCCUGACGGUAUCUAACCAGAAAGCCACGGCUAACUACGUGCCAGCAGCCGCGGUAAUACGUAGGUGGCAAGCGUUGUCCGGAUUUAUUGGGCGUAAAGCGAGCGCAGGCGGUUUCUUAAGUCUGAUGUGAAAGCCCCCGGCUCAACCGGGGAGGGUCAUUGGAAACUGGGAGACUUGAGUGCAGAAGAGGAGAGUGGAAUUCCAUGUGUAGCGGUGAAAUACGUAGAUAUAUGGAGGAACACCAGUGGCGAAGGCGGCUCGCUGGUCUGUAACUGACGCUGAGGCUCGAAAGCGUGGGGAGCAAACAGG